GAAAAAGUAUUUUUUAUUAUAAUAAAAUAUAAAAGCAAAAUUACUAACUAGCAUAUGCUGUACUACAUGGUAGUUGCCAUUUUAGAACACAUCAUAUUGUCAGUUUUGGAAUGGUGGAAACAUGUUGCCAUCAAUACAUUAGCCAAGGGCAGCAGUAUAUUAUUGCAGGGAUGGUUAGUAAGACUGAUUAUAUAUUAUAACAAAAAUAUGUUAAAUAAGUUUGUUAAGCAGGAUAUGUCUAUAAUGACAAUAAUAGCAUUGCAGCUGGUACUAUAAACACUAACUGCAGUGCUAUUUGUAUGUAUCUUCAAAGAUACCAGGAAGAAUUAUGAAUUGAGUGUUUAUAGAAAAGUAACCUAUGUCCCAGUACUCAUACCUGCUUGAUUGAAUAAUAUCUAAGCAUAUAUGAAAGUGGCUAUUAGAUUGUUUUUUAGGAGAGCAAUUACACAUUGCACUAUGAAUGCUGACAGACAGGAGGAAGAUAAGUGGAUAUAUCAGAAUGGUUUUAUAUAUGGUUAUUCUUAUAAAUAUAUAGAUGAUGUUUAUAGAAAAGUGAUAAAGUCCAUGGAUAGGAAUAACUCCAAUAAUCAAAAAGUACACUACAAUGAUAACAGAAUACCUGGAAGGGAUAAAUUUAUGAAAUUAUCAUUUGCAGGAACAAAAUUAAUUACAGAAAGGUAGUGAGAAGUGCAGAAGUAAGGUUAGUUUCUAAAAGGCAAUCCAUCAUCUUUAAUUAUUUACCUUUAAAGGUAAAUAAUUAAAAGUGAUAGGUUGUUUCAGUAUAUGGAGAAGGAAAAAUCUGGUGUCUAUGUCAUACCUUUGUAUAAUAAGAAUAUCCAAAAGGACAAAGAAUAUGCUGGCAUAACCAAAAAGAAUUUGAAGACAGGCUGCUUGGAAGUAGAAAAUACGAGAGCCACAUUGUGUAAAUAGUUUUACAAACAUGAUAUAGAGAUUGACUGGGAUUAUACAAGAUUUGUAAGAUCAUGUGACACAUUGAAAGAGAGCUUGGUAUUGGAAUUCAUAGAAAUUUUGAAGAGGGCCCAUUUUUAAAACAUAAUUAAUAAUCAUUCAGAAGAUAGCUUUUCAAUAACAUGGAAAUAUGGCAUACAUGGUAAUACCUAAAGAUUUAUGUAAAGUACAUAUUGGCUUGUACAAUUGUAACAGUUUGAGCAUUUCCUCAUAAGUUUAGAAACCUCGACUAAUAUUAAUUUUUAUAGUAUUGAUAUUUCAAUAUUUGUUAAUGUGAUGUAGUUUAAUAAUUUGUAUAAUAUAGUAAUUACAGCUAUAAACUUAAUGUAUG
Molecule: long non-coding RNA, 1300 nt
Filed under: Androctonus crassicauda
Lineage: Eukaryota; Metazoa; Arthropoda; Arachnida; Scorpiones; Buthidae
Source: RNAcentral